AUUAUUUUGGCAGAUAAGUGCAUUAAAAUUAGAAUUUAAUUAUGUAAAUGAUAAUUUACAAAUAAU
This 66-nucleotide transfer RNA is filed under the name Zyras sp. 2 HE-2012. RNAcentral's name for it is "tRNA-Leu". Lineage: Eukaryota; Metazoa; Arthropoda; Insecta; Coleoptera; Staphylinidae. The record is from RNAcentral.